This is a long non-coding RNA of Leopardus geoffroyi (Geoffroy's cat), 2609 nucleotides long. RefSeq lists it as uncharacterized. The record is from RefSeq and is a predicted model, not a curated record. NCBI's taxonomy places the organism in Eukaryota, Metazoa, Chordata, Mammalia, Carnivora, Felidae. The transcript is spliced from 6 exons.
CUCCAGGAGAUCUGAAGUGCGGAGACGGGGGGAAGGCAGGAAAACAGAGAAAAGGAUGCCUAUUCCCCUAUUACCAAAUAUCUCUGAGCAGAAACAACAACAUGGGAAUGAAGUCUUCCCUGCACCGGAUUCUCCACUGGAGGCAACAGGGACCCAUCAGAACCCAAGAUCCCCUCUGUGCUCCAUUCAGAGUUCAGCACUGCACCCUCCUCCCUCAGAAUCCCGGCCAUCUAACCUCCUCCACUGGGGUCUUGCAGAGUUUGCAUAUCAUUGAAUCAGCCUGGAUCCUCCCCAAGUCCCUGUGUGGGUAGAUGGCAUUUGCUCACGUGAUGAGGAUGGACUGGUUCUCCCUAUCUGGAAGAGGAAAGAAGAGAGGCAACAGAGUCAGGACCCCUCUGAGGCCAAAACCAGUGGAGGUCCCCCCAUCCCCGCCCCAGCAUCCUCUCUGGCAAAGGAUGUGCAUCCCUGGGAUGGUGCCCUGUUACAUACAUCUGCUCAGGUCCAUCUGAGAAAGAGCUCUUCAUUGUGCUGGAAGUCCUGGAGCACAAGGGCAUGCGAUGGAGGCUCCUGCCACAGGUGAGGGACACCGGGUCACCUCCCUGUGCCUGGCUCCUUGGAUCUCCGUCUGUCUCUGUCUGACCUCCCUUUCCCUCUGCCUGGUUCCCUGUCUCAAAGUUGGACCUGGCCUCCGAUUCUCCCUGGCGCCAGGUUUCUGCCCAACUUGGAGUCUGCCAGGCCUGCAUUUCCAAGAGUCUCUGCUUUCUCUCAGCUCGACCUCCGCUCACCCUCUGCCUGUCUCUUCUCUGCUUCCACGUCUCACUCCGAGGUCUUUGUCCACCCCUCUCUAAUGUCACUAUUCCUGGCCUUGCUGAUUUACCUCACAUCUGAAGGUGACCCGGAUUUCUUCCCUUGCUCAGUGUCACCUCCCUCAGCUCUUGCAGCAUCUGUCUUCAAGGCCCACCCUGCCCUUCUGCUCUCCCACCCAUCAGCCCCCUCCUCCUCUCUCUCCUCCUACUGCCGGCUGCCAGGCUCUGCUGCUGUCCGCCAUGUGGUCUCCACUGUGUCUCUAGCCUCUCUUCUCUGCUCUGGGAGCUUAUGUCCUCAGGGUGUCCCUGCAUCUCCCUUUUCUCUACCAAUCUCCUCAUUGUUCCCAGGUGGUCCUAGGGCAGGUGAGUGGAGGGGGCCUCAAGGAGAAGGGUGGGAACCCAUGAAGGCCUCCUCACUACUUGUAUUUUUUCUUUGUUGGUUCCCCUAGUCCCCUGCCCCCUCGAUUUCUUGAGUCUCCCCACUCUCUCUGAUGUCUGUCACCCUCCUCAGUUCUUUCCUUUUUCCUUCCCUAUCCCCUUUCUCCCUGCUUCCCUGUCCUCCUAUUCUCUGAUUCUUCCUGGGGUAGGCCUUCUUUCUGGCUGCUCAGAGUAGGGGUGACCAGGAGCCUGGCUGGGAUGGCUGUGUGGUAAGGUGCAGGAGAUUCAGUCCAGGGCUAGCCAGGCCUUCUGGGGUUCCCAGUGGGUGGCCGACUGCCCCAUUCCUUGCAAGAUGCUGUGACCCAUAGGCCCAGGCCUUCUCUAAGUAGCCCAGGUGUGGCAGUGACUCCAGGGGGCCAGGCUUGUUUAGUUGGGGAGAGGCUUGCUCCUUUCUCCACUCCCGAGCCCUCUGGCUGCCCACCCUCCCCUCCCCAGAGUCCUGCUCACUUGGGACUCUCCUCUCCACAGUCCCUUAUCUGUCUGCCUCCCCUCCAUAUGGCUGGCCAUAAAUGGGCCAAAGAUCCUCCAUCUUCCAGCAAGCAAGGUGAAGAGGAUCUUGGGAAAGGAAGAUACAGCAAGAAGAAGUGAAGGAGAAGAAAGAAGUGCUGUGGAGAGAGGGGGAUAGGAGGAAGAUAAGAGGAGGAGAGGAGGGUGGGCCCAGGGUACAGUUCUGACUGUGAUGAGGAAGGCGCCCUGGCCUUAGGUUGCUUAGAGACAGAGGUGGCUGCAUCUGUAAGGAUGAUGGGCUACAGCCAUGAGUCCGUGUGCCCUCUCAGAGACCUGCUGUAGGCUGGGACUUAGAAGUCACUACCCCACACAUCAGAGGGUACCCCUACACACUAAACCUCCUCCUGGAGGCUCAGGCCUGGUGCUGUUAGGGGUGGUGGGGGGUAGUGUCAAUCAGCUGGGAUAUAAGUCCAUAGCUGAUGGGCUCUGCCUGCUCUAGGCAAGACUUAAAGGUUUUCCUAAAUUUCCCUUAACCCUGAUGGUCUCUGGGCCAGGGAGAGGACUGGGAGGAGAGGUGUCACCUGCUGAGAAGGAGGUGAAGGGGAGCGUCUGGGUCAGUCCUGCACCAAGGAUGCUCAGAGACUCACAGUUUUCCAGGAAGGCCUCCUUGGGCUGUGUAUAAAGCCGCCCCUCCUCUCCUGGAUUCCCACCCCCCAUCCCCCUGACCCCGUUCAUGUCCCCAUGGCUGGCAGGCUUUGAAGAAGAGUCUGAAGGCAAGAUAUUGGCUUCAAAGAAAAUAGCUUUACUCUGCUUCAUCCAAAGGGGCUGCUAUAUAGACUCUGGAACUGGGGGCUUCGUCAGCACCCUCGGGACUGGGCAGAUCAAGAAGACGUGGCAAAGCUAUUCCUCAUUCAAGCC